Molecule: ribosomal RNA, 253 nt
Filed under: uncultured bacterium
Lineage: Bacteria
Description: partial 16S ribosomal RNA
Rfam family: Bacterial small subunit ribosomal RNA
Source: RNAcentral
UACGAAGGGGGCUAGCGUUGUUCGGAUCUACUGGGCGUAAAGCGCACGUAGGCGGAUCGUUAAGUCGGGGGUGAAAUCCUGGAGCUCAACUCCAGAACUGCCUUCGAUACUGAGAGUCUUGAGUCCGGGAGAGGUGAGUGGAACUGCGAGUGUAGAGGUGAAAUUCGUAGAUAUUCGCAAGAACACCAGUGGCGAAGGCGGCUCACUGGCCCGGUACUGACGCUGAGGCACGAAAGCGUGGGGAGCAAACAGG